RNAcentral lists this long non-coding RNA (386 nucleotides) under Phoenix dactylifera (date palm). RNAcentral describes it as "long non-coding RNA (PDAC_LNC009888)". The record is from RNAcentral. Lineage: Eukaryota; Viridiplantae; Streptophyta; Magnoliopsida; Arecales; Arecaceae.
UAAUACGGUCUGAUACCAUAAUAUUUAUAUAACAAUAUCAUUUUAAAAAGCGAAAGUUCUCAUAUAUUAUAUGAUAACGAGACUUUCUCAUACUUUUCCAAGUAUCUGCUAAUUACGACAUAACUAUGUCUCAAGUACAUUAAAAGGCAUCAAAGGCUGCUGCUGACUUUAUUGAACCCCAAUCACAGACUUCAGGAAUCGCAACAUUUCAUUGAGCUCCACAAGAUCUGAGUCGUCCUUCAUUGAAGCAGGUGGCUUUACUCCAGUGACGAAGAAAAGAGCCCUGAGUUCAUCUACAAGUGAUAGCUGCAAAGCAGCCUUAUAACCCAUUAUGGUCCGAAUUGCAAAGAUUUGUUCCCAAAGCUUAUCCUCACUGUAUAAACCCU